CCUACGGGAGGCUGCAGUGAGGAAUAUUGGUCAAUGGACGAGAGUCUGAACCAGCCAAGUAGCGUGAAGGAUGACUGCCCUAUGGGUUGUAAACUUCUUUUAUAUGGGAAUAAAAUGUUCCACGUGUGGGAUUUUGUAUGUACCAUAUGAAUAAGGAUCGGCUAACUCCGUGCCAGCAGCCGCGGUAAUACGGAGGAUCCGAGCGUUAUCCGGAUUUAUUGGGUUUAAAGGGAGCGUAGGUGGAUUGUUAAGUCAGUUGUGAAAGUUUGCGGCUCAACCGUAAAAUUGCAGUUGAAACUGGCAGUCUUGAGUACAGUAGAGGUGGGCGGAAUUCGUGGUGUAGCGGUGAAAUGCUUAGAUAGCACGAAGAACUCCGAUUGCGAAGGCAGUUCACUGGACUGCAACUGACACUGAGGCUCGAAAGUGUGGGUAUCAAACAGGAUUAGAUACCCGUGUAGUC
RNAcentral lists this ribosomal RNA (460 nucleotides) under uncultured bacterium. Its description in RNAcentral is "partial 16S ribosomal RNA". It matches the Rfam family "Bacterial small subunit ribosomal RNA", at positions 338 to 795 of the family's 1533-position model. The record is from RNAcentral.